RNAcentral lists this ribosomal RNA (403 nucleotides) under uncultured bacterium. RNAcentral describes it as "bacterial SSU rRNA". It matches the Rfam family "Bacterial small subunit ribosomal RNA", at positions 355 to 774 of the family's 1533-position model. The record is from RNAcentral.
UAGGGAAUAUUGGUUAAUGGGCGAAAGCCUGACCCAGCAACGCCGCGUGCGCGAUGAAGGCCUUCGGGUUGUAAAGCGCUUUUAAGUGGGAUGAGGAAGGACAGUACCACUAGAAUAAGUCUCGGCUAACUACGUGCCAGCAGCCGCGGUAACACGUAGGAGACGAGCGUUAUCCGGAUUUACUGGGUGUAAAGCGCGUGCAGGCGGUAUGGAAAGUUGGAUGUGAAAGCUCCCGGCUUAACUGGGAGAGGUCGUUCAAAACUACCAAACUAGAGUACAGCAGAGGGGAGUGGAAUUCCGAGUGUAGCGGUAAAAUGCAUAGAUAUUCGGAAGAACACCAGUGGCGAAGGCGGCUCCCUGGGCUGAAACUGACGCUCAGACGCGAAAGCUAGGGUAGCGAACG